RNAcentral lists this ribosomal RNA (160 nucleotides) under Fusarium euwallaceae. Its description in RNAcentral is "5.8S ribosomal RNA". It matches the Rfam family "5.8S ribosomal RNA". From Rfam's summary of the family: 5.8S ribosomal RNA (5.8S rRNA) is a component of the large subunit of the eukaryotic ribosome. It is transcribed by RNA polymerase I as part of the 45S precursor that also contains 18S and 28S rRNA. Functionally, it is thought that 5.8S rRNA may be involved in ribosome translocation. Lineage: Eukaryota; Fungi; Ascomycota; Sordariomycetes; Hypocreales; Nectriaceae. The record is from RNAcentral.
AUAAAUUAAAACUUUCAACAACGGAUCUCUUGGCUCUGGCAUCGAUGAAGAACGCAGCGAAAUGCGAUAAGUAAUGUGAAUUGCAGAAUUCAGUGAAUCAUCGAAUCUUUGAACGCACAUUGCGCCCGCCAGUAUUCUGGCGGGCAUGCCUGUUCGAGCG